Molecule: ribosomal RNA, 517 nt
Filed under: uncultured Parvibaculum sp.
Lineage: Bacteria; Pseudomonadati; Pseudomonadota; Alphaproteobacteria; Hyphomicrobiales; Parvibaculaceae
Description: bacterial SSU rRNA
Rfam family: Bacterial small subunit ribosomal RNA
Source: RNAcentral
UGAUCCAGCCAUGCCGCGUGAGUGAUGAAGGCCCUAGGGUUGUAAAGCUCUUUCACCGGUGAAGAUAAUGACGGUAGCCGGAGAAGAAGCCCCGGCUAACUCCGUGCCAGCAGCCGCGGUAAUACGGAGGGGGCUAGCGUUGUUCGGAAUUACUGGGCGUAAAGCGCACGUAGGCGGGUAUCCAAGUUGGGGGUGAAAUCCCGGGGCUCAACCCCGGAACUGCCUCCAAAACUGGGUACCUAGAGUCCGAGAGAGGUGAGUGGAAUUCCCAGUGUAGAGGUGAAAUUCGUAGAUAUUGGGAAGAACACCAGUGGCGAAGGCGGCUCACUGGCUCGGUACUGACGCUGAGGUGCGACAGCGUGGGGAGCAAACAGGAUUAGAUACCCUGGUAGUCCACGCCGUAAACGAUGAGAGCUAGUUGUCGGGCAGCAUGCUGUUCGGUGACGCAGCUAACGCAUUAAGCUCUCCGCCUGGGGAGUACGGUCGCAAGAUUAAAACUCAAAGGAUUUGACCGGGG